GGGCAUGCGAGGGCUGUCGCUGACUCAAAGUCGUGCACGCCCGAGUGUGUCGCCUCACAUAAUAAUCCAUCUCACCCUUUGUGCAUCACCGCGUGGGCACCCCUUUGGGAUCAUCUCGGAGGGGGCUCGCGUUUUCACACAAAACCCCCCUUUUAAAAGUGUAGAAUGACCUCAUUUAUGCGCUAACCCGCAAUCAAUACAACUUUCAACAACGGAUCUCUUGGCUCUCGCAUCGAUGAAGAACGCAGCGAAAUGCGAUACGUAAUGUGAAUUGCAGAAUUCAGUGAAUCAUCGAAUCUUUGAACGCACCUUGCGCCCCCUGGUAUUCCGAGGGGCACACCCGUUUGAGUGUCGUGAAAACCUCAACCUCCUUGGUUUCUUCUGGAGACCAAAGCAGGCUUGGACUUUGGAGGCCUUUGCUGGCACCUCUCGCCAGCUCCUCUUAAAUGAAUUAGCAGGGUCCUCUUUGCUGAUCCUCGACGUGUGAUAAGAUGUUUCCAUGUCUUGGUUUCUGGCUCUGUCACCUUUGGGACCCGCUUCUAACCGUCUUCAACCUUGCGUUGAGACAACGUUCGAGCAUGUCUCCCUUCUCGGGAAGCUCCCUCGACCCCACGAACCCUUGACCUCAAAUCGGGUGAGACUACCCGCUGA
Molecule: ribosomal RNA, 651 nt
Filed under: Basidiomycota sp. JH 84
Lineage: Eukaryota; Fungi; Basidiomycota
Description: eukaryotic LSU rRNA
Rfam family: 5.8S ribosomal RNA (bases 201-354)
Source: RNAcentral